UCGUUGGGGAUCUGGUGUCUGCACAGAAGCUGCGGCUCCACAAUCCUUUUGGCGAAUGGCAUUUUGUUCGCCAAAAAUAACAGAGACUGCAAGCCAAGUGUAUAUCCCCACUGCCUAGAAGAAAAAGGUUAUUGACGCAGCUUGUAUCCGUGGCCUGAAGAGCGCUCAGACAGUGAAGAUGAGAGUUGACUGAGUGUACAGAGUGGUCUGAAAAAGAGAACUUGAGGAGCAAAACCUUUAUGAUAUUUUGCUGAUGCCAGAGUUCGGGGGAUAAUCAUUUGAGAGGAGAGAAAAGCAACACCAGCCCGAAUGCCUGCUUGUUAAAAUCAAAGUGAGUAAUGCCAUCUCUGAAGGUGCAACACAAACUUGAUUCAGCCGGACUACAGCAGCAGAUGACCACACCAGGCAACGCUAUGAUCAAAAAAACUGAAGCCAUUCCUGCAGGCUGACUGAAACUGGAUGACAGCAAAGGGGGGAAUUUUUGGGUGGUGUUGAGCUGCAACCUAUUAUCACUCAUUUGAUUGUGGUAUGAUGAACCAGGGACGCACCUAGAAGAUCCAGGGCCCUCAAUUGUGUUUUCAAAACUUCUGUAGGAACAUCUAGUUUUUGAAACGUUACUGUUUUCUCACUUCUGCUCCAGUUAU
Gambusia affinis (western mosquitofish) is the source of this 644-nucleotide long non-coding RNA. RefSeq lists it as uncharacterized. The transcript has 3 exons. The record is from RefSeq and is a predicted model, not a curated record. Lineage: Eukaryota; Metazoa; Chordata; Actinopteri; Cyprinodontiformes; Poeciliidae.